GGUCUGAGAGGAUGAUCAGUCACACUGGAACUGAGACACGGUCCAGACUCCUACGGGAGGCAGCAGUGGGGAAUAUUGGACAAUGGGCGAAAGCCUGAUCCAGCCAUGCCGCGUGUGUGAAGAAGGUCUUCGGAUUGUAAAGCACUUUAAGUUGGGAGGAAGGGCAGUAAGUUAAUACCUUGCUGUUUGACGUUACCAACAGAAUAAGCACCGGCUAACUUCGUGCCAGCAGCCGCGGUAAUACGAAGGGUGCAAGCGUUAAUCGGAAUUACUGGGCGUAAAGCGCGCGUAGGUGGUUCAGCAAGUUGGAUGUGAAAUCCCCGGGCUCAACCUGGGAACUGCAUCCAAAACUAC
This 354-nucleotide ribosomal RNA is filed under the name bacterium LimB-10-J-104. Its description in RNAcentral is "bacterial SSU rRNA". It matches the Rfam family "Bacterial small subunit ribosomal RNA", at positions 289 to 636 of the family's 1533-position model. The record is from RNAcentral.